Molecule: long non-coding RNA, 1844 nt
Filed under: Piliocolobus tephrosceles (Ugandan red Colobus)
Lineage: Eukaryota; Metazoa; Chordata; Mammalia; Primates; Cercopithecidae
Description: lncRNA (ENSPTEG00000038547.1)
Source: RNAcentral
CAUUAAAGGAUAGAUUGGCUACUGUGCGGAAUAUAAAUAAUAUUAUAAAUAAGAAAACUGUAAAUGUAGUAGAUGAUAAUAAUAAUAAUAACAAUGAUAAGAAAGACACAGAUGAUAAGAAUGUAAAUGCGAAUAUAGAAAAUGAUAGUAAAAAAACAGAAGCACCUGUUAUCGAAAACAACUUUAGCAAAUUUAAAAAUUAUAAUAGUGUAGUAAAUAAAAAGCAAAAUGAAGAAAUUGAAAAAAAAUUACAAAAAAGAAAAAGAAGAACAAAACAUGAUAUAUUAAUGGAAAAAAUGAAACAAGCAGAAAAAGAAAAAGGGAAACAUAAAGAAUAUGGUUCAAAAAGAAGUGGUAAUGAUGGUGGUAGUCAUAAUUAUGAAGAAGGAGAAGAUGAUGAUGAUGAUGAAGAUGAAGAUGAUGAUGAAGAUGAUGAUGAAGAUGAUGGAGAUCAAUCUGAUGAAAAUGAAAAUGAGAAUGAAAAUGAGAAUGAAAAUGAGAAUGAAAAUGAGAAUGAAAAUGAAAAUGAGAAUGAAAAUGAAAAUGAAAAUGAAAAUGAGAAUGAAAAUGAGAAUGAAAAUGAAAAUGAUGAUAGGGAUAAAGAAGAUGUAGAAAACGAAAACAAUGUUGUCAAACAAAAAAGACGUGGUAGACCACCUAAAAGAUCCACUACUUCUAAAAAAUCAGAAAAUGAUUCUGAAAAAAAUUCACAUGAACAGGGGGAAGAAAACGAAAAAAAUGACGAUUAUGAUAACAGUGAUGAUAAUGAUGACAGAACGAUUAAAAAUAAAUAUGAUAAAAAAAGUUCUUCUCAUGUAUAUUUUAAAACUGGUACAAAUGGUAGUAAUAGUAUGAAUAGAGGUAGAAGAAGCAAAAGUUCCGUACAAUUUAGAAAAAGUAAUGCAAGUGAAAUGAAUGAUGGAAUAGAGAAUCAUGAAGGAGAUAAUAAACCAAAAAGAAAGAGAAGGAAAAAAAAAGAAAUGGAAGCAAUUCGAGCCAAUGCACUAAAAGAAAAGAUACAUCAGCAAAAUUCGUUAAGUAGUAUUUAUAGCAAACAAAACAGUACAAAAAGUAAUAAUGAUCAUAAUAAUACUAGUACUAGUAAUGUAGGGCAUGUUUUGAAUGGACAUGGUGAUAAUACGAUAAAAAAAAAAAGGGGAAGAAGACCCAAAGUGCUUGGAAAUGCAGUUACUACUAACACUAGUAAUAAUAAUAUUGUAAAUCGUAAGAGUAAACAAAUUGAUAUACGAAAGUAUUAUAGUAAAGGUAAUGGUAAUGAUGAUGAAACUAGGAAAAGAAGUAAUAGUGCAACGAAUGACAAAAAUAAAGAAAGAGGAGAUGAACAAGUUGAAGAUAAAUCUGUAUAUAGAAUAAUAAAAAAAACCAAACAAGAUGUUCCUACUUUUAUGAAAGUUUCACCUAAUGAAAUAACAAAUUUAGAAAAGGCUUAUAAAAAUAAUAUUAAAAAAGGUGUUACAUGUAUACCUUUAAAUUAUCAAAGUAAAGGAGGAGGAAUGGCAAUAAUUUUAAUCGAUGCUGAAACUACAUAUGGUCCUGUAAAAAAUGUACAUGGUUUUAUGACUUUUCUUGUCUUAGGUUGCGAUUUAAAAAAAUUAUUAAUUGACACUGGAAAAAGUAAUAAUAUUAUAGAAUGUGAAAAACAUAUGCAAUUGUUAAUAUGUCCUGGAGAUAUGUAUAUGUUUAAAAACGAUAGCCAGGACACAGAAGCAAGAUUGUUGUUGAUUGUUUGUAAUAAAAUGAGUCAACCAUUUGAUGCAAAGUUGCAUAUAAAGGACCCAGCGAUGAAUAUGCAAAAGUAAAAAAAAAAAAAAAAAAAAAGAACA